RNAcentral lists this long non-coding RNA (563 nucleotides) under Homo sapiens (human). RNAcentral describes it as "HSALNT0238359". Lineage: Eukaryota; Metazoa; Chordata; Mammalia; Primates; Hominidae. The record is from RNAcentral.
GCACAGACCUCCCUCCCAAGCAUGUCCUUAACCUUGGCAAAAUAAACUUCCAAAUUGAUUGAGAGCUGGUUUUGGUUUACAAGCUGGCAGCCAAAGGAAGUGACUCAGUGGAGGUGGCCCUGACCUUUGACAAAUCUAUCAGUGCUUGGUACCAGCUUGGGCUAUUUUUAUUGCUCAAACAGGACAAUUUGCUGAGGCCUGGGAGCACCCCACUCCAGAGAAUCCCUGAUGUCCCAAAAUUUGGUUGAGAUCUAAAGUUUAUUUUGCUGUACACCUCUUUGUCUGCAGUUUUACUUACUCCCAACAAAGAAGGUGCGUUUUCCUGCCUCCAUGACGAUGGAGGGGAGGCAACUCCUUUCUGGAAUUUCAUCUGGCUUCCAGCAGGGAAGGUAAGGAAGCAUGACAGUUGCCCUGACGGCUCCCUGUACCACAUUCAUCACAGCAGAACCUCGUAAUGAAGCUGGAUUUGAGGGCAACACACCCCCUUUAUUGGCUACACACACACUAUCAAGACAAUUCAACUUAGCUACAUUAUACAAAAGCUCCAGGAGCACUGACGCCCU